RNAcentral lists this long non-coding RNA (909 nucleotides) under Pan troglodytes (chimpanzee). Its description in RNAcentral is "lncRNA (ENSPTRG00000054508.1)". The record is from RNAcentral. Lineage: Eukaryota; Metazoa; Chordata; Mammalia; Primates; Hominidae.
AUAAAUAUAUAGUAAGUAUAUAAACCUAAAAUAUUAAUAUAGAUCAAGUAUAUAAAUGUGUAUACAAUAAAUAUAUGAACCUAAAAUAUGAAUAUAUAUAAAGUAGAUGAAUAUAACACAUAAACAAACUAUAAAUGUCUAGACAUUGACCAUGUACAAGUGUGCAGUGUGGACAGUGAAUGGAAAUGUGAGCAUGAAAUGUGUGUUGACGCCUCCCAUCUCCUGUGCACACACAAGACACAGCGACCUCCCUGUCUCCUGCACACACGACACCCAGGGACCUUCCCGUCUCCUGCACACACGACACCCAGGGACCUUCCCAUCUCCUGUGCACACACGACACACAGGGACCUCCCCAUCUCCUGCACACACGACACACAGGGACCUCCCCGUCUCCUCCGCACACACGACACACAGGGACCUCGCCCGUCUCCUGCGCACAGCACGACACACAGCGGACCUCCCGUCUCCUGCCACACACGACAACAGGGACCUCCUCAUUCUCCUGCGCACACAGACCACCCAGGACAGGCGACCUCCCCGUCUCCGGCUCACACACGACACCCAGGACCUCUCCAUCUCCUGCGCACACAAGACACCAGUAAGGGACCUCCCCCGCUCUCCUGAGCAUCACACGACAUCCAGCGACUCACCCAUUUCUCUUGCGCACACAAGACACCUAGGGGACAGGCGACCCUCCUGAGUCUCCUGAGCACACACGACACCCAGGGACCUCCCCGAUUGCUGCCACACACACACACAGGGACCCCGGUCCUCCUGCACACACGACACACCAGGACCUCCCGUCUCCUGCACACACGACACCCAGGGACUCCCGUUGCCCUGCAACACGCACAAUUAGGGACCUUCCACGUUCUCCUGCACACACGACACACAGCGACCUCCCCG